AGUUCGGAUUGCAGGCUGNAACCCGCCCUGCAUGAAGUUGGAAUUGCUAGUAAUCGCGGAUCAGCAUGCCGCGGUGAAUACGUUCCCUGGCCUUGUACACACCGCCCGUCACACCAUGGGAGCCGGUAAUACCCGAAGUCAGUAGCCUAACCGCAAGGGGGGCGCUGCCGAAGGUAGGAUUGGCGACUGGGGUGAAGUCGUAACAAGGUAAC
Molecule: ribosomal RNA, 212 nt
Filed under: uncultured bacterium
Lineage: Bacteria
Description: partial 16S ribosomal RNA
Rfam family: Bacterial small subunit ribosomal RNA
Source: RNAcentral